AACGAACGCUGGCGGCAGGCCUAACACAUGCAAGUCGAACGCCCUAGCAAUAGGGAGUGGCGCACGGGUGCGUAACGCGUGGGAAUAUGCCCUUCACUGCGGAAUAACGUUUGGAAACGAACGCUAAUACCGCAUAAUGACUCCGGUCCAAAGAUUUAUCGGUGAAGGAUUAGCCCGCGUUAGAUUAGCUAGUUGGUGAGGUAAUGGCUCACCAAGGCGACGAUCUAUAGCUGGUCUGAGAGGAUGAUCAGCCACACUGGGACUGAGACACGGCCCAGACUCCUACGGGAGGCAGCAGUGAGGAAUAUUGGACAAUGGGCGCAAGCCUGAUCCAGCCAUGCCGCGUGAGUGAAGAAGG
Molecule: ribosomal RNA, 358 nt
Filed under: uncultured bacterium
Lineage: Bacteria
Description: bacterial SSU rRNA
Rfam family: Bacterial small subunit ribosomal RNA
Source: RNAcentral